AUGGCGGCCCUGCAGGGGAGAAGGCUCCUCCUUCCCCUUCCCCUCUCCCUCCUCGCGCGGCAAGCCCUCCGCCGUGCCGUCCCACCGCCCAUCCCCCGCUGCCGCUUCCUCGGCUCCUCCUCCCCGCCCGCGGCACCGGCCUCCCCCUUCCCCUCCCCGCCCGCACCCGGCCCCCGCUCCCCGCCCGGCUCGCUCCUGCCGACGAGCGCCGCGGCCGUCGUGCCGGCCGCGCGCGGCGCUGGGUCCCCCGGCCUCGAGAUCUCCGCUCCGCAGCGAGGCCGGACCACCUCGGGCUGGCCCCUUCCGUCGUCGGCAUUGCUCCACGCCGCGGCGCCCUGGGCGCUCUGGACAUCGGCCACGGCCGAUGACAUGGUGGGCGCGCUCAUGGGCGCCAACUUGUCCGUCUUCAUGCUCUGGCGCGUGCUCGCGCAUCCCAGGUUCAUCACGGAUCCUCACAUGGUUUGGCUGGACAUGUACUUCGGCGGGCGGCUGCACACGCUGCUCACGAGCGCCUCCAGCAACGUGGAUCCCAUGUUCAUGAGGAAACAUUUCAUGAUCUCGCUGGACAAUUUCACGAGUGGGCGUCUGCACACGAUGCUCACCAGUUCUUUCAGCCACAUGAACCUUAAGCACCUCUUCAACAACAUGGUCGGCCUCUACUUCUUCGGCUCAAGCGUAAGACGGACACUCACUCUUGUCACUCUGUCAUCUCUUCUGUUCUGUUGA
This 726-nucleotide ribosomal RNA is filed under the name Triticum aestivum (bread wheat). RNAcentral describes it as "partial small subunit ribosomal RNA". Lineage: Eukaryota; Viridiplantae; Streptophyta; Magnoliopsida; Poales; Poaceae. The record is from RNAcentral.